Molecule: non-coding RNA, 741 nt
Filed under: Pan troglodytes (chimpanzee)
Lineage: Eukaryota; Metazoa; Chordata; Mammalia; Primates; Hominidae
Source: RNAcentral
GGGAGCUUAGAUGUGGAAGCUCUUUGGAAACCAAGAAACACUCUGCAAAUGAAAAGGGAAGCAGAAGUUCUCCUUAGCUGAUUUUUCUUCUUGCCUUAUACUGGGUUCUUUAACACCAGAACAAAAAUAAAUAAAUAAAAGAAUCUUCCAGAAAUUCAUGAAGAGACUUCAGGUCAGGAAAGCCUGAACUUUCUCAUCCAACACCUGUUCAAGUCGGAGGAUGCUGAUUAAUUCAUGAUGGAAAGGUAUCAAUUUCACAGCCCAGACCUCUACAUUCUUGAAAUGCUCUUCUCAUGGGAGACAUUAAAUAAGCUUUGAAUUAACUGAGACCUCUGUGGAUUCUAUAACUCAAAGACCCAGGCUGACGGCUGGUGGAAUAGCUACCAUCUCAAACAUGGCGUGAUGCUGCAUCAGAGAGAAAAAUAAGCUCUUGCAUUGACAAUGAAAUGUCUACCCUGUAGUGACUUGUGCUUACUUCCACUCACAAGUGAUUGCCCAGAGCUACUUACCUGGCUCCAAUCUACCACUGGGUCAGACGUUUGCUGAAUUCAGUUCUGAGCUUUUGAACCAAAAGCAGAUCUUCAGAACAAGAAACAAGAUAAUAAAAGAGAAACAUGAAGAAACUGAAGAUGAUUGGAGAAAUAUGAAUCAAGAUGAUUAGACCUAGCAGAGGGCUGGCUGGAUGGCAUUUAUGUUGACAGUGGACUCCUACACAGAGGAUGAUCAUGGUCUAGGACAUAA